This 177-nucleotide ribosomal RNA is filed under the name uncultured bacterium. Its description in RNAcentral is "partial 16S ribosomal RNA". It matches the Rfam family "Bacterial small subunit ribosomal RNA", at positions 355 to 524 of the family's 1533-position model. The record is from RNAcentral.
UGGGGAAUUUUGGACAAUGGGCGAAAGCCUGAUCCAGCCAUGCCGCGUGCGGGAAGAAGGCCUUCGGGUUGUAAACCGCUUUUGUCAGGGAAGAAAUCUCCUGGGCUAAUACCUCGGGGGGAUGACGGUACCUGGAGAAUAAGCACCGGCUAACUACGUGCCAGCAGCCGCGGUAAU